This 468-nucleotide ribosomal RNA is filed under the name uncultured bacterium. Its description in RNAcentral is "partial 16S ribosomal RNA". It matches the Rfam family "Bacterial small subunit ribosomal RNA", at positions 28 to 507 of the family's 1533-position model. The record is from RNAcentral.
GACGAACGCUGGCGGCGUGCUUAACACAUGCAAGUCGAACGGAAAGGCCCUGCUUUUGUGGGGUGCUCGAGUGGCGAACGGGUGUGUAACACGUGAGUAACCUGCCCUUGACUUUGGGAUAACUUCAGGAAACUGGGGCUAAUACCGGAUAGGAGCUCCUGCUGCAUGGUGGGGGUUGGAAAGUUUCGGCGGUUGGGGAUGGACUCGCGGCUUAUCAGCUUGUUGGUGGGGUAGUGGCUUACCAAGGCUUUGACGGGUAGCCGGCCUGAGAGGGUGACCGGCCACAUUGGGACUGAGAUACGGCCCAGACUCCUACGGGAGGCAGCAGUGGGGAAUAUUGCACAAUGGGCGGAAGCCUGAUGCAGCAACGCCGCGUGCGGGAUGACGGCCUUCGGGGUGUAAACCGCUUGCGCCUGUGACGAAGCGUGAGUGACGGUAAUGGGUAAAGAAGCACCGGCUAACUACGUG